UGCGCAGGCGGCCUGAUAAGUCAGAGGUGAAAUAUGUCGGCUCAACCGACAAACGGCCCCUGAAACUGUCAGGCUUGAGUCCGGGAGAGGUUGGUGGAAUUCCAGGUGUAGCGGUGAAAUGCGUAAAUAUCUGGAGGAACACCGGUGGCGAAGGCGGCCAACUGGCCCGGUAUUGACGCUCAGGCACGAAAGCUAGGGGAGCGAACAGGAUUAGAUACCCUGGUAGUCC
This 229-nucleotide ribosomal RNA is filed under the name uncultured bacterium. RNAcentral's name for it is "partial 16S ribosomal RNA". It matches the Rfam family "Bacterial small subunit ribosomal RNA", at positions 568 to 796 of the family's 1533-position model. The record is from RNAcentral.